RNAcentral lists this small RNA (125 nucleotides) under Marmota monax (woodchuck). The record is from RNAcentral. Lineage: Eukaryota; Metazoa; Chordata; Mammalia; Rodentia; Sciuridae.
GCUGGGCAUGGUGGUGCAUGUCUGUAAUCUCAACAUCUCAGGAGGCUGAGGUAGGAGGAUCGUGUGUUCAAAGCCAGGUUCAGCAAAAGCGAAGUGCUGAGCAACUCGGUGAGAUCCUGUCUCUA